AUGUAAUGCGUCUAUCUCAUAUAUUAGUUUCCCCUUUUACGUUGCAUUACUGAAAUAAAUGAACUUUUGCACGAUAUUCUAAUUUUUCGAGUAUCACCUGUAAUUGGUUUGUAAAUCCGAUGGACUCUUUCAAUUUGAUACUCUGUUGUCGAUACUUCAGGGAGGACAGCUUUGAAUAGACCAAAUAGGUAGUCUUCCAUUUUUUCGGGCGUAAUAUCUUCAGAUAUGCCACAAAACCUUAAGUUGAAUUUACUAGAUCUGUCCUCUAGUUCUGAAAUUUUUUGUUCAAGGCUAUUUGUUUUGCUUGUUAAAAAUUCCACUGUUUCUUUAAGAGUCAUGAUUUGCUUUUCUUCCAUCACACUUAUUUCUGCGAUUUUUUUUUGUAUCUUGUUUGAUAUCAUUAAAAUUUAUAAGCAUGUCUUGUCUUAGUGCUUGAAGCUGUGACUCCAGUAAUUGCUUUAUCUGUUCAUGUAGGUUAUUAUGUUAAUUUUUUGUAAAACCAUAGGUUCUGCACUUAUAUCUGUUGUGUUUGCUGAAUAGAUGGGGCUUUCUACUUCUGUAUAUGGUUCUUGUACAUCUUUUGAAGGAGUGGAAGCAAAAAAAGCCUGAGAGCUUUUUUCAGUUUUUUUGUUGAUUUUAUUUCUUUUCUUUUUUCUAUUGCAGUUUUUUUGUUGCCAUUUUAAGGAGCUUACUUAA
Non-coding RNA from Pelobates cultripes (western spadefoot toad), 696 nucleotides. The record is from the annotation of a GenBank genome assembly. NCBI's taxonomy places the organism in Eukaryota, Metazoa, Chordata, Amphibia, Anura, Pelobatidae.